This is a long non-coding RNA of Anneissia japonica, 567 nucleotides long. RefSeq lists it as uncharacterized. The record is from RefSeq and is a predicted model, not a curated record. The transcript is spliced from 3 exons. NCBI's taxonomy places the organism in Eukaryota, Metazoa, Echinodermata, Crinoidea, Comatulida, Comatulidae.
AUAAUAAAUUAUUAUUUUAGGAUCUUGUAUUGCUGAAGGACCAUCCGGAGACCGAAUUAGGAUUAGUGAUGAUGGUACCACGUUGGUAGGAGGAUGUGCACUUUGCGAAUGCGAGGCUGCUCAAGAAACUGAUUACCCUUUGUUUUGGCGUAGAGAUAGCAAUCCACCACUCCUUUCUCAGAGACGCGCGAUUUGCGAUACAUCAGCAUGCCAACCUGAGAAUCCUUGUAGUAAUACUGAUCCGUCAUUGGUGUUUCCAUCCUCGAGGGAUGUGCCACCUUGCACUUUCGGCUGCCUUUGCUUCACCAAUGGUGAUGUCCGACUUUGUAUUGAUCCAGCCCCAUGUGACGUCACAAAUAAGUGCAUAACACCCGAGUUAUCAUGUGGAUGCCCGACUUGCCCAGAAGUUGGAAAUUGUGUUGCGAUGGUUGAUGAAUUUUUCUAUCUAAUUAAUGAUGAUGGCCCAACGACGGUAGCUGGUUGUGCAGUUUGUGAGUGUAAUCCAAUUUCGAAUCCUAUCCCGUUCCCCGGAUUUUGGUUGCCAGGAAACAAACCACCAACUGUUCA